Molecule: transfer RNA, 77 nt
Filed under: Xanthomonas arboricola
Lineage: Bacteria; Pseudomonadati; Pseudomonadota; Gammaproteobacteria; Lysobacterales; Lysobacteraceae
Description: tRNA-Arg
Rfam family: tRNA
About the family: Transfer RNA (tRNA) molecules are approximately 80 nucleotides in length. Their secondary structure includes four short double-helical elements and three loops (D, anti-codon, and T loops). Further hydrogen bonds mediate the characteristic L-shaped molecular structure. tRNAs have two regions of fundamental functional importance: the anti-codon, which is responsible for specific mRNA codon recognition, and the 3' end, to which the tRNAs corresponding amino acid is attached (by aminoacyl-tRNA synthetases). tRNAs cope with the degeneracy of the genetic code in two manners: having more than one tRNA (with a specific anti-codon) for a particular amino acid; and 'wobble' base-pairing, i.e. permitting non-standard base-pairing at the 3rd anti-codon position.
Source: RNAcentral
GACCCCGUAGCUCAGCUGGAUAGAGCGUCCCCCUCCUAAGGGGAAGGUCGCCCGUUCGAAUCGGGCCGGGGUCACCA